ACUCCUGCGGGAGGCAGCAGUGGGGAAUAUUGCACAAUGGGCGCAAGCCUGAUGCAGCCAUGCCGCGUGUAUGAAGAAGGCCUUCGGGUUGUAAAGUACUUUCAGCGGGGAGGAAGGCAAUACGGUUAAUAACCGUGUUGAUUGACGUUACCCGCAGAAGAAGCACCGGCUAACUCCGUGCCAGCAGCCGCGGUAAUACGGAGGGUGCAAGCGUUAAUCGGAAUUACUGGGCGUAAAGCGCACGCAGGCGGUCUGUCAAGUCGGAUGUGAAAUCCCCGGGCUCAACCUGGGAACUGCAUUCGAAACUGGCAGGCUUGAGUCUUGUAGAGGGGGGUAGAAUUCCAGGUGUAGCGGUGAAAUGCGUAGAGAUCUGGAGGAAUACCGGUGGCGAAGGCGGCCCCCUGGACAAAGACUGACGCUCAGGUGCGAAAGCGUGGGGAGCAAACAGGAUUAGAAACCCGAGUAGUCCCA
RNAcentral lists this ribosomal RNA (471 nucleotides) under uncultured organism. Its description in RNAcentral is "partial 16S ribosomal RNA". It matches the Rfam family "Bacterial small subunit ribosomal RNA", at positions 335 to 797 of the family's 1533-position model. The record is from RNAcentral.